AAGACUGUGCUUUUUGUUCUACAAGAUGGUUAGAGUAAUUAAUUUCCUUUUCAGUUCCUGAGCUGCAGCUUGUUGUAUGUAUGGGUCAAUGUAAAGUUAAAACAUCUUGAGCACACAAAACUGAACUUAUAUUGUUGAAAGAAAGAAAGAAAGAAAGAAAGAAAGAAAGAAAGAAAGAAAGAAAGAAAGAAAGAAAGACCAACAUCUCAUUCCCUCUCCAGAAAAAGAAACAGAAAAUUUAGCAGUGGUAUUGUGCCUCAUCUCACUUUGUGCCUGGAGAGAGGCAGAGAAGCAAUGAAUUUCUUGCUGCUUCUGCCUCUCUCCAAAGCCAAGAAAAAAGCAAGAGGAAAAACUCUGACCAUCCCCCCUCAGACUUAUGGAGUACGCAGAGAACUAGUCAGAAGGAGUGGGCGUACCCAUCGCUAAUCCCAUGUGUGGCAGCUCUUGUGAGAGUUUGCGAGCUGCUGGCAGGGGAAGAGGAAAGCGGCAGCGCUGGACAGGC
Hemicordylus capensis (graceful crag lizard) is the source of this 502-nucleotide long non-coding RNA. RefSeq lists it as uncharacterized. The record is from RefSeq and is a predicted model, not a curated record. The transcript has 3 exons. Lineage: Eukaryota; Metazoa; Chordata; Lepidosauria; Squamata; Cordylidae.